AAAAUCCGUCGACUUUAGAAAUCGUGAGGGUUCCAGGCUCUAUCCCCA
This 48-nucleotide transfer RNA is filed under the name Linum tenue. RNAcentral's name for it is "partial tRNA-Leu". The record is from RNAcentral. Lineage: Eukaryota; Viridiplantae; Streptophyta; Magnoliopsida; Malpighiales; Linaceae.